Molecule: ribosomal RNA, 253 nt
Filed under: uncultured bacterium
Lineage: Bacteria
Description: partial 16S ribosomal RNA
Rfam family: Bacterial small subunit ribosomal RNA
Source: RNAcentral
UACGUAGGCAGCAAGCGUUGUUCGGAGUUACUGGGCGUAAAGAGUGUGUAGGCGGUGCUCUAAGUUCGGUGUGAAAUCUCCCGGCUCAACUGGGAGGGUGCGCCGAAAACUGGAGUGCUCGAGUACGGGAGAGGAAAGCGGAAUUCCUGGUGUAGCGGUGAAAUGCGUAGAUAUCAGGAGGAACACCUGCGGUGUAGACAGCUUUCUGGACCGUAACUGACGCUGAGACACGAAAGCGUGGGUAGCAAACAGG